ACGCUCGACACCUACUGGAGACAGCAGUGGGGAAUAUUGCACAAUGGGGGAAACCCUGAUGCAGCGACGCCGCGUGAGUGAAGAAGUAUUUCGGUAUGUAAAGCUCUAUCAGCAGGGAAGAAAAUGACGGUACCUGAGUAAGAAGCCCCGGCUAACUACGUGCCGGCAGCCGCGGUAAUCUGAGCGGGCUGGCAAGGC
Molecule: ribosomal RNA, 198 nt
Filed under: uncultured bacterium
Lineage: Bacteria
Description: partial 16S ribosomal RNA
Rfam family: Bacterial small subunit ribosomal RNA
Source: RNAcentral